This is a long non-coding RNA of Strigops habroptila (Kakapo), 2169 nucleotides long. RefSeq lists it as uncharacterized. Lineage: Eukaryota; Metazoa; Chordata; Aves; Psittaciformes; Psittacidae. The record is from RefSeq and is a predicted model, not a curated record. The transcript has 2 exons.
CGGGGCCAGGCCGGGCCUGAGGCGGCGUGAGGCGAGACUUUGUAAUACGUUGCCCGAGGUUACCAAUUGACGCAACUCAAAACGGUGGAGAUGUGUCAGGCUGCUCCUGCGACAGACAUGCACUGGGAAGAGGAGCGAGAGCAGAGGGUGCUCUCUUCUGUGGGAAAACAAAAACGUUUUAUGAAAGAUAAUUGACUGACUUUAUCACAGGCGGGUUUUAAAGCCUCUUUUACGUCAUCGCCUCCAGUAAAACCAGACGUGGAUUCUGCCAGACUCGGUUUCUGGAGCAGUUGAGCUCCACUGUUUUCUGCUGGCUGCGGUUGGGCUUAACGCUGCUACCUUCUAAAAUCUAAAAAUCCGAUGUUUUUUUCAACAUGCUGUUCCCUGCUGGGUGAAACUACAGGUUUUUCGAGUUAGUUGCACGAGAAAAGGACAAAAGCAUGUUUUUCAGCUGUUAGGCGCAAUAGUCGAAGAAAGAUUAAAACAAAGAAACCAGCCAAAACAACCCCCUUCCAGAGCAGUCCAAAUAAAAUAAUUCAUAUAUUUGACUUAAAUAUUUACACAUUUAUUUAGUAUAAAUGUUUGCGUUUGAUUUUUAUUUUUUUAAUUUAGGCUAUAAUUAUGUGUAACUUUAAAGCUCUCUCAAAAUACUUUUUCUUAAUAGCUACUAUGCAGUCGUUGACUUGCACAAAAUAGUUCACAGAAAAGCCCCAAAACCCCCUAGGCAAGAGGGUGUGCAGAAGGGCGUGAAAAUAAUACUGGAGAGAUUAGAAGUAGUGAGUAGGUGGAAAUGGGAACAGAUGUGUAGGCAGGGAUUAUGCAGUUUUCAGGGGGAGAACAAAGAACCUGAACUUGAUGCAGUAAAAGGAUGAGAAACCCAAGAAUUAAUCGUGAAAUGGGAUUCACCUGGAAUAUGUCUUUGGUGGCAUUUUGAGUUCAGUGCUGCAAAGGCGGAGGUAUGAGGAAGUGAGAGGAAGAAACCGUGCAUAAUAAGAUGCUAGCUGCUGCAGUGCCAACCAUGGAAAUUGAUCAGCAGUCCCUCUAAGAAAAGACAGAGUGUUAAUUAUAUUGUUAGCAGAAGUCAAAUAAGAUGUGGACUGGAAAAAACAGCAAUAAAAUAUGUUCAUUUCCUCUUUUACACAUAGGACAGUCUAUAUGUGUUCUCUUUCCAACAAUAUUAAAUUAACAUAAAAGAGGAGAUUAAUCAGGUAAUAAUUAUAGACUAUUUAUAGACUUCCACCAUGGAAGACAGUGAGGCUUUCAAAGCUCAAAUGUCAGCAAUAUAGAGAUAAAGCAGAGCAGGCAGAGAUAAAUCCAUCUUUCACAAUAUAGUAUCACUCGCAACAUCAAGGUGAGGUGAGGGCACGGGUGCAAGAAAUCAUCUGCAGUAAACUGCUAGUAAGAUGAUGGUUAAAUGUAUUGGUAGGGGGCCAUUAAAAGCCUUGAACGCGUGAUGUGGUCCUGAUCAGUCACGGUUAAAAUCAAUGACAUCUUACAAGCCACAUUUUAAAAACCCUUCUGGACUAAUGUGGACUUCCCUUAUAGUAGAUUUUAUGGUGAAAUCCCUACUGCUUUUUUCUUUUGGCUGAGAGGCAACCUCACAACCUCGGGGCUGACUGUGCAGCUGUGAUAACGUCUGCUCUUGUUUUGUUCUCUGGAUUGUAAAGUGUCAUGUGAAAAAUACAAUCAAAGGUGAAGGAAGACCUUAUGAACUGCAUACAAGUCACUGGUGAAUUCCCCAGCAGAUUUUUUUGAUUCUUUUAAAGUCUACCAACGGAAACUAAAGUUUGCCCUGCCUGAGUUGCCUGGUUUGUAUUCCUCUCAUAUGACCUCAUUCACGGAGGAAAUGCAUUCCUGGCACAAGGGAAUUGUUUACUAUAGAACUGUUUUCUCAAUGACGGUGGAACUAGAAGUUGAAUGCUAAUGUAAACAUCGUUGCUCUCCAUUCCAGACUGAGGUUGUACAUAAAGCAGUGCUUAAUUAAUCUGACCUUCAUAAAUAAUAUUCACAAAGUGUAUAAUUUUAAAGAGCAAGUUGACCAAUGUCUGUGCAUACCCUGAGGAUGGGGAGGGAAAAAGAAUGGAUAAAACAUGCUCAUUGCUUUGAUAAUUAAUCUUUAGAAGAAGCUUCGGUACAAGUGAUGUGUUUAGAGACGGAGAGGGAAUACAA